This is a long non-coding RNA of Cavia porcellus (domestic guinea pig), 5259 nucleotides long. RefSeq lists it as uncharacterized. The transcript is spliced from 6 exons. The record is from RefSeq and is a predicted model, not a curated record. NCBI's taxonomy places the organism in Eukaryota, Metazoa, Chordata, Mammalia, Rodentia, Caviidae.
GUGUUUGUGGGGUGGGGCAGGAACUGGCCUUUGAAUAGCACACAACAGCCACUUUGAGAGCCUCUAAGAAGCUUACUGUUUUCCUUUCUUUUUCUUCCAACCUCAAGAAAAUAAAGACAGAUGAAGGUUAAGGCUGGGUGCAGAAUAAAAGAAGUCUACUGCAGCAGACUAAAUCUGAAGGACUCGUGAGCCCAGCUCCAGAAGCCUAGUGCCUAGAUCCAGAGGAGCCUGACCAAGGGAAGAGUGUGAGCUGAAGUUUCUGCAAAGAGGCUGCCUUUGUACCGAAAGAAUUUUUGGAUUGUUUGGAUUUUACUCAGCAGGAGUAAUGAAGACAAAGGACCACAGGGAGGCACAUGUAGCCCAAAGAACAGGCUAAUGAUGCCAGCAGGCUCGGUCCUACUGUGAGACCUGCCAUUACCAGCCGAGUAGCCUCUCUGGGUCUUAGCCAUCUCAUCUGUGGAGCAAGAUAAUUGCAGCUACCUCAGUGGUGUCCAACUUUUAAAACAUCAAAAAAAAGAACACUGCAUUUUGAAAUGUUUUAUCUACCAAGUUGCAGGUACCAAAUAAUUUAUGUUUCCAGGAGAAGACUGUGUUGAUCUGACUCCAGCCUAAAGCAAGGGAAAUGGAACUUCUAGAGUAGCUCACUCCCCAGGGUGAAGAUCCUACUAUUUUGAAAGACUGAAACUGUCUCCCAGGUUCUCUUUGGUUAGCUCUGUGGACUCAGAAUGAGGCAGAGAUGCACUUCCCGACCACUGACCUAGGAAAUCCCCAAGGCUCAGCUCCCUACUGUGUGCUAGCGCCUGGAGCCCCUGUGUGGCCUCCUUCCUGCUCUCAGGCUCAGUGCUGGCUCCUGGAGUCCUUUAAGAAAACCACGCCCAUCCAGAUGCCAUGCUCUUCCUAGUUGGAAGACACCUUGCUGGCCCAGCCCACCUGCCAGCCCUCCCUGAAGAUGGUCUUCUCCCUCCUUGUGCGGAAGGGGCUGUCCUGCUUCUAGCUUCUUUCAGAUCCCUGUCCUGCAGCCUUGUCCCAAGAGGGCUGGGACCUUCACACAGACUAAGGAAGGAGCAUGGAUCCUAACUCCUUUGGUCAGUGAGGAGAGGGGUAAGACCCAGUCUGUUUCACUAAGCUAGGAUGCAGUGUCCAGUAGGCUGUGAGAGCACUGAGUGAUGAAUUCUGCAUGCUAAAGGUCAGGGUGCAGGGUGAAGGCGUGGCUGAGUCAGGCCUGAAUGGGUAGGGGAACCAGGUCAGCACCCAGAGAUUGAUGGCACUGAGGACGGUGGGCUGAGCUGGGCAGGGGCAGGGCUCGGAUCCUGCCUAGCUACUAAUGUGCGUGAGUUUGGCAUCUAAGGCAUCCUCUCUCCUUCCUUCCUACAAAUACUUCCUGAGCAUACUUUUUGUGUAUGCCAAGUACCCUGUGUAUACCAGGUAUGUACCAGGAAUAAAACAUACUUUGUCUUAAAGGAGCUUGCAGAUCAGUGAAGAAGAAACACGAAGAACUUUCUCUAGCCCCUCUUCAAGGAGACAUGUUCUAGAUCCCAGACUAGUAUGUGGCUUGUCUUCGUGAUGGCACCAGGUGCAUGCCAUCAAGCCGAGGAGCAACCUCAGCAACUCUCAGCCUGGGUGGGACAAAUACCAGGCUGCUGGCAUUUGUCCCAUCUGGGCGGGGAAAGAGAUACUCUGAGUCUUCUCUGUUGGCUCUGCCUGGGGCAGGGAUGAGGCCAGGUGCCCUUAUCUGCUCCAUGAAUCUUAAAUAGAGGAAAGACUUCCCUAGGGGGCCCUGAGCUUUUCCUUCCCCUCAUCCAGUGGUUUCAGGGAAUAUGGGGUGGGGCAUGGCCCUCAGGAGGUCAAGCUCCAAGUCCCCUCUUGAGUGUGCACUUUAGGAGAGGAGGAAGGACAGUUCUUCUGCAUGCCUUGCUGGACUUGGACAGGCAGAAAGGGCAAACCAGGGGUGCGGUCAGUCAAUGGAGAGACUCAUGGUAAAAUCAUCACAAAAUAAUCUUCAGUGGAGCAGCAACGCGGGGAGAUCUGGGGGGACAGGGGCCAGUGCUGGUCACUCUGUACAUCAAUCUUUACCAAGCAUCUCCUGAAGCCAAGGGUCAUUUCUUUAAGGCAUUCACAUUAAAGUUGGUAAGUAUACAACAAGGAUCGUAGGCAGAGUGGGACAGCUGCCCUGGGAGAGGCUGGAGAGCCAACAGGCAGAGGGAACGAGUGACAGAGGGUAGGUUUUGAAGCAAGGUUCUGCAUGAGUCAGGGCUACAUCUGGCCUCGUGUAACAGAGACCUAAAUGCAAGGCUUAGGCAGAAGUUUGCCUUCUCAUAGCAUGGAGUGUGGAGGGAGGAUUGCAGAGGGCUCAAACAUGUCACAAAAGGCCCCUUCUGUCUUCCACGCCAGCUUCCUUGACAUGUGGUUGUCAUCCUCCCGGCUGAAAACCGAUUUUUCAUGCCUGGCCAUCACAUCAGAGAAUUUCCAAGGAGCAAAAUGACAUGUGCCCACUCUCACUCUUCCUUUGUAAUUUUUUUAAAAAAGUUUAUAUCCCAUUAGCCAGAAUCACAGCAUCACUCCUAGUAACAAGGCAUCCUGGAAAAAUUAAUAUUUUUAGGAGGACAUCAAUCUUCCUUCCCCAGACAAAAUCAAUGUAUUCUGAGAACAGAUAUAGGCCAGGAACUAGUGGCAUCCACCGGAGCCCUGCACAAUGACAGAAUACGCUCAGGCAGGUGUGUCAGGAGGGCUUGCAAGCACACCAGUGCAGCCAGAGCUCAGGGAGUGAGUGGUGGGAGGGUAGACUGGGCAGCUGACCUCGCCUGGCUUUGUGGAAUUGCUCCCCUGUCUGCACCCUCUACAGCAGUGGGUUAACCGACGGGGAAUCAGCAGUAGCAGACAGUGCAAAGCAACUGGAAAAGUCAGGAUCAGCUGCCAUGAGACAGGACUGGAAUUUAGGGCAAAGAAAAUGACAGUGAAUCCCCUGUCAGCCUCAGUGACAACCAGAGGGCACUGUUGGGUGGGCCCAUCAUAAUCUCAAACCAGCGCACAUCCCCCAGGAUAACCCGUUGUCCCUCACUGUUCCUGAGUAAGCUGUUGAGUUAGCUGUAUCCCUUAGCUUCUGCCUGAGGUCUGUUUAUUAUUGUCACUCUUUCUGUCUAGUCUCAGUUGUUCAGGGCCACAGGGAAUGGUAGUGGCACUAGGCAGAGCAGAGAGCUAUGCAGAAUGAUUGGCAUCGAUGAUGCUGACUCCAGCUCUUAGGUAUGUGAUAACCCUUUGUGUAACUCUUCCCAGAGGCUCCUGAGAUGGGACCUGUACCUGGAGAGGGAGGGGAGCAGCCAUGUCUUGCUAUGAGUAUGUCAGUAGAGGCCUGGGUUUUCUACCAGGAGGCACCUCUCUGAGUCACUGAACCCAGCUGGCUGUCAUCAAUAAAUCUCUCUGUUAUGGUUAGGAUCUGAAAUGCCCCCCCCCCCCCCCGCACGCUCAUUGUGUUGCGUUGAUUGCCAGCUAACGGCUCUGAGGAAGUGGCUGGCACUCACUUUUCCGGUGGAUUAACUCACUGAUGGCUUCGUACUCCCACCCGCUUCCUGGCUGCCAUGAGCCAUGAAGUAAGCAGCUCUGCUUCACCAGGCCCUCUUCACUGUGAUGUUCACCCUCACCACAAGCCCAAACGCGCGAGAGCCAGCCAGCAGCUGUAGAAUGGUAGGACCCGGAAACCCUGAGGUGGUGAGCCCAAAUAAAGCUUCGCUCUGUGAAAGCUGAUUAUCUCAGCGCAAUGCUGUGAUUCCUGAGAUGCUGAACUACAAGCAGAUUUCCAGCGCCCCUUACAGAGGAAUGGCAGAGUGGAAGGACCAAGGGAUUGACAGUGUUAUCAUCCAGCCUCGUUUCCCACCUUUUCCAGAACACUCUACUGCAUCCUUGCAGGAAGUGGAGAAUUAUCAGGGACAGAAAAUUCAUCACAACUCCUAACCUCUCCAGCACUCAGAACUAUUAAUGGGAAAUUCUGUCAGCUAAAAGGAAAAAAAAAUCUUCCUCAUUUUACACAACUAUGGGGCACCAUUGCGUUCUCUUUACCAGGUAUUUUGCUGGGCACUAUCCAGAAAAAUUCCAAGGAAUGCUACUCUGAUCCUGCAAGUUCAGUUCUAUUAUCCUCAUCUGACGGAGAAGAAUCCUGGCAACCAGAGUCUGAGAAAUUUGCCCAUCAUUGUGAGGCUAGUGGUCAGCACCCUUGGUAUGAGACAUUAGAACCCCAAGCUUGUGCUCUUUCCAUUACACUGGAAUUACAUGGCCUUGUCAUCACUGACCUCUGUGGUGGGGCUGCCCCGUGCAUUGUAGGAUAUGUAGUGGCAGCAUCCCUGGCUGAAUCCCCCCCUAGACACUGAUAUCAUUCUUCCUUCAGUAGUGACAAUAAGUUGUUUCCAGACAGUGCCAGAUGUCCUCCUGGGGAUGGGAGGCACUCACAGCAGAUUUGUGUCUACUGCAUUACACGCGGUGUUCUCUUCUGAGUUAAAUAUUUUUCUUCUGCUCAUUGGCCUUUGCUCUCCCCUGUGAAGUCAUGGGAACACCCAUUUCAUCUUCACCUGCCUGGAUGUUCUUCGUCUCCAAAUCUCUUCUCCAAACCAAACUCCAACUUUCCUUCAUCAUUUCUCAACACAUGGUGGCUGCUAAGCCUUUCACCAUGGUGCCGCCCUUUACCAGUGAUCAUCAGCUGUAGACCAAUGCACCAGACAAAACAAAGAACUUUCUCCAUCACAUGUCCUCUCUUCUCCUCCAUCAGAAGUAAUCAUAUCUGCUGUCUUUCCUUUGUGAAGUUCUUGAUGUAUCUACUAAGGGCUGGUGUUUCCUCUUGUAACCCCCACCAAAGAGGGGUCUGAUGUCCCUUUUUCCAUCUUAAAUCUCCCUCAUUUGUGCCAUGCAGUGGACGUGAUGUGUCCCCAGUGGGCUGUGUGCUGGAAACCUAGUCCUCCAUGUGGCACUGCUGGGAGGCUAUGGGACCUGUCAGAGGCCUGGUUAAACUGGAAAGGACAGUGCAAGCCCUGCCCUCAGAAGGGUCUGAUAUGUUUGUCAUGGAAGCUCAUGAGAGUGAGUUGGUAUAAAAGAGUAAGAUGGGCCCCUCCUCACCAUCUUCUUUCUUAUCUCAUCAUAUGAUCUCUCCCUCUUACACAUGCUUCCACCAUGAUGUGACAUAGCCAAGAAAACCCAACAGAACUGGAGCCAUGCUGUUCAGACUUCCAGCCACCAAAAUUGUAAGCUAAUAAAACCUCUUUUCUUUGUAAAACA